This 347-nucleotide RNase P RNA is filed under the name Desulfoscipio geothermicus. Its description in RNAcentral is "Bacterial RNase P class B". It matches the Rfam family "Bacterial RNase P class B". Rfam says of the family: Ribonuclease P (RNase P) is a ubiquitous endoribonuclease, found in archaea, bacteria and eukarya as well as chloroplasts and mitochondria. Its best characterised activity is the generation of mature 5'-ends of tRNAs by cleaving the 5'-leader elements of precursor-tRNAs. RNAcentral also lists the same sequence under 1 other name. Lineage: Bacteria; Bacillati; Bacillota; Clostridia; Eubacteriales; Desulfallaceae. The record is from RNAcentral.
UACGACGGGCAGUCGCUGUCGCCCGGUAAAGACCGGGGCGGUAGAGGAAAGUCGAGACACGCACUCCGGGCGCUCUGGAGGCGCUAUGGUGUAGUACGGUGCCCGGCGCAAGCCGGGGCAGGGCGACCUGACGACGGCAAAAGAAACCCACCGGGUUUCGAGUAGCCAUAAAGUGCCACAGAAACGAGGUCAUCGGGUAACCGAUGAGUGCAAGGGUAAACUCCACCAGCGUGCAACCCAAAUAGGCAGCCUUUGAGCUGCGGGUAGGGGCACCCCCGUGAGGGGGAGGCGAACCUUUAUGGUUGGCCUAGAUAGAUGACUGCUAAAACAGAAUCUCGCUUACGGUC